This 116-nucleotide non-coding RNA is filed under the name Gloeochaete wittrockiana. Lineage: Eukaryota; Glaucocystophyceae; Gloeochaetales; Gloeochaetaceae. The record is from RNAcentral.
GUUCAAAACACACACCACCACACACACACCAAAAACCAAAAAACCCAAGAGAGAGAGAGAAACAAAGGGGAAAAGGGAAAUCUUUUUUUCUUUUUCUUUUUCUUUUGGUUUGUUUU